Molecule: ribosomal RNA, 253 nt
Filed under: uncultured bacterium
Lineage: Bacteria
Description: partial 16S ribosomal RNA
Rfam family: Bacterial small subunit ribosomal RNA
Source: RNAcentral
UACGUAGGGUGCGAGCGUUAAUCGGAAUUACUGGGCGUAAAGCGUGCGCAGGCGGUUUUGUAAGUCAGAUGUGAAAUCCCCGGGCUUAACCUGGGAACUGCAUUUGUGACUGGCGAGCUAGAGUAUGGCAGAGGGGGGUAGAAUUCCACGUGUAGCAGUGAAAUGCGUAGAGAUGUGGAGGAAUACCGAUGGCGAAGGCAGCCCCCUGGGCCAAUACUGACGCUCAUGCACGAAAGCGUGGGGAGCAAACAGG